CAACCCUUCAUGUCUUAACGGAGGAACAUGCACCGCACCUAAUACAUGCCAGUGCCGGACUGGGUACACAAAUACAACAUGUACAUCACCUGUGUGUAAUCCAUAAUGUCUUAAUGGAGGGACGUGCAUUGCUCCUAACCAAUGCAGCUGUCGGACAGGCUACAGUACUCCACGAUGUACAGAUGUAAACGAAUGUACUGAUGGCUGGAAUGGCUGUCACAUGAAUGCUGACUGCACCAACA
Asterias rubens (European starfish) is the source of this 242-nucleotide long non-coding RNA. RefSeq lists it as uncharacterized. The transcript has 3 exons. The record is from RefSeq and is a predicted model, not a curated record. NCBI's taxonomy places the organism in Eukaryota, Metazoa, Echinodermata, Asteroidea, Forcipulatida, Asteriidae.